AGUGAACGCUGGCGGUAGGCCUAACACAUGCAAGUCGAACGGCAGCACAGUAAGAGCUUGCUCUUACGGGUGGCGAGUGGCGGACGGGUGAGGAAUACAUCGGAAUCUACUUUUUCGUGGGGGAUAACGUAGGGAAACUUACGCUAAUACCGCAUACGACCUACGGGUGAAAGCAGUGGAUCUUCGGACCUUGCGCGAUUGAAUGAGCCGAUGUCGGAUUAGCUAGUUGGCGGGGUAAAGGCCCACCAAGGCGACGAUCCGUAGCUGGUCUGAGAGGAUGGUCAGCCACACUGGAACUGAGACACGGUCCAGACUCCUACGGGAGGCAGCAGUGGGGAAUAGUGGACAAUGGGCGCAAGCCUGAUCCAGCCAUACCGCGUGGGUGAAGAAGGCCUUCGGGUUGUAAAGCCCUUUUGUUGGGAAAGAAAAGCAGCAGGUUAACACCCCGCUGUUCUGACGGUACCCAAAGAAUAAGCACCGGCUAACUUCGUG
This 492-nucleotide ribosomal RNA is filed under the name uncultured bacterium. RNAcentral describes it as "partial 16S ribosomal RNA". It matches the Rfam family "Bacterial small subunit ribosomal RNA", at positions 29 to 507 of the family's 1533-position model. The record is from RNAcentral.